AGAGUUUGAUCAUGGCUCAGGAUGAACGCUAGCUACAGGCUUAACACAUGCAAGUCGAGGGGCAGCAUGUUGGUUGCUUGCAACCAACGAUGGCGACCGGCGCACGGGUGAGUAACGCGUAUCCAACCUACCCUUGUCCAUCGGAUAACCCGUCGAAAGGCGGCCUAACACGAUAUGCGGUUCACGGCAGGCAUCUAAGGUGAACGAAAUGUGAAGGAGAAGGAUGGGGAUGCGUCUGAUUAGCUUGUUGGGCGGGGUAACGGCCCACCAAGGCUACGAUCAGGUAGGGGUUCUGAGAGGAACGGUCCCCACAUUGGAACUGAGACGACGGUACCAAACUCCGUACGGGAGGCA
Molecule: ribosomal RNA, 354 nt
Filed under: uncultured bacterium
Lineage: Bacteria
Description: bacterial SSU rRNA
Rfam family: Bacterial small subunit ribosomal RNA
Source: RNAcentral